GAAGAGCAAUAUGCUGGAAAAGUUUUAAACAUCAUACUAUAGCCAAUUCUAUUUAUGAGGUAAAGUACAUUAUGGUAUUUGAUGCUAUAAAGGAAGUAGUUUGAUUGUAAAAGUUCAUUAAUGAGUAAUAGAGUGGCACCCUUCAUUAAUAGUCUAGUGCUGCGUAUUGUGAUAGCAUUGGAGUCAUAGCAUAGGAUAAUGAAUAGUAGUCUCACCAG
This 218-nucleotide long non-coding RNA is filed under the name Elaeis guineensis (African oil palm). Its description in RNAcentral is "long non-coding RNA (EGUI_LNC039748)". The record is from RNAcentral. Lineage: Eukaryota; Viridiplantae; Streptophyta; Magnoliopsida; Arecales; Arecaceae.